GGGGAUGAAAGGAUUUCGACGGGGGUUUUGAAACACGAUAAGCGAGCAGCGGCGCGGAACCGCUUUAAAAGCCGCACUUUUUAAAGAAUAAACGACAACAAUAAAGUUUCGUUACAGGCUGCUUAAGCCUGCGUCCUGUCUUUGAGUCCUGCGGCUUAGAUUUGGGCGUCGAUUAGCAGGGAACGUGAACAGGGGAUGGCCUCCUCCCCUGUCAUGACUUGGAGGCUACCGUAAGCGUCAGCCUGCCGGACGGCGGGCGCUGAGGGGAAUCCUAGUAGACCGGAUACGCUCGUAGAAAGUUGUGCGGAUGAGCUUUCGGACGCGGGUUCGACUCCCGCCAUCUCCACCA
This 349-nucleotide transfer-messenger RNA is filed under the name Lachnospiraceae bacterium. It matches the Rfam family "transfer-messenger RNA". From Rfam's summary of the family: Bacterial tmRNA, also known as 10Sa RNA or SsrA, is named for its dual tRNA and mRNA-like properties. Its role is to liberate the mRNA from a stalled ribosome. Lineage: Bacteria; Bacillati; Bacillota; Clostridia; Lachnospirales; Lachnospiraceae. The record is from RNAcentral. RNAcentral also lists the same sequence under 5 other names.